GGGGCCUUAGCUCAGAUGGGAGAGCGCCUGCCUUGCACGCAGGAGGUCACCGGUUCGAUCCCGGUAGGCUCCA
Molecule: non-coding RNA, 73 nt
Organism: Haloplasma contractile SSD-17B
Lineage: Bacteria; Bacillati; Mycoplasmatota; Mollicutes; Haloplasmatales; Haloplasmataceae
Source: Rfam